AUUCUCACCUAACAGCAGAAAUAUCACAAUCACCAGGCCUCUUGUGGGCUAGUAAGUGGUUUUCUGAGGCCUGUCCCUUGUUGCGCUGCAGGGAAACACCCCUGCAAGUUUCCCUAAAUGCAGGAGACUCGACUGCACAAUCUUGUGGUAAAGGGGAACUGCUUUUUUGCUUCCUCUGG
Molecule: small nuclear RNA, 179 nt
Filed under: Crocodylus porosus (Australian saltwater crocodile)
Lineage: Eukaryota; Metazoa; Chordata; Crocodylia; Crocodylidae
Description: U1 spliceosomal RNA (ENSCPRG00005001340.1)
Rfam family: U1 spliceosomal RNA
About the family: U1 is a small nuclear RNA (snRNA) component of the spliceosome (involved in pre-mRNA splicing).
Source: RNAcentral